GAUGAACGCUGGCGGCGUGCCUAAUACAUGCAAGUCGAGCGAACGGACGAGAAGCUUGCUUCUCUGAUGUUAGCGGCGGACGGGUGAGUAACACGUGUAUAACCUACCUAUAAGACUGGUAUAACUUCGGGAAACCGGAGCUUAUACCGGAUAAUAUUUUGAACCGCAUGGUUCAAAAGUGAAAGACGGUCUUGCUGUCACUUAUAGAUGGAUCCGCGCUGCAUUAGCUAGUUGGUAAGGUAACGGCUUACCAAGGCAACGAUGCAUAGACGACCUGAGAGGGUGAUCGGCGACACUGGAACUGAGACACGGACAAGAGUACUAAGGGAGGCAGCAGUAGGGAAUGUUACGCAAUAGGCGAAAGCCUGACGGAGCAACGCGGAGUGAGUGAUGAAGGUCUUCGGAUCGUAAAACUCUGUUACUAGGGAAGAACAUAUGUGUAAGUAACUGUGCACAUAUUGACGGUACCUAAUAAGAAAGCCACGGCUAACUACGUG
Molecule: ribosomal RNA, 497 nt
Filed under: uncultured bacterium
Lineage: Bacteria
Description: partial 16S ribosomal RNA
Rfam family: Bacterial small subunit ribosomal RNA
Source: RNAcentral